CUUGAAAAGCCAGCAUCAGUACCACUCCAGGAACUCAAGCUAGUGACAUGUCCUGACUGAGGAAUUUAUCUGGAAUUCCAACUUCUGCAAACAUAAUAAGGGACAGAUAUAUUUUAAUAUAAAAGGCAUUACAAGUUUCUGAGUAGAACAUGCUGUUUCCUUUCAGCAAGUUUCCUGUCUCUAAGAAUAUUUUUUUCUACCUAGUCUAAUAAUAAAUAUUUCACUAUCCCACUGUUUUUCAAAAUAUCAGAGAUGACUGAGGUGGAAUAGUCUACCUUAUUUCUUAUAUUUAAAAAGACCUCAUUAGUGCUUUGACUUAGGUAUGUACAAAAACCUGUAUGUGACCUACUUUCUACCCACAGAGGUUAGCAUCACUUUCUUAGGCUCUUUGCUCUUCACUGUAUUUUUGGUCUUUUCCUUCCCUUGCCUGGCUCCACACCACUCUCAGGUUAUUGUUCCCAAACACUAUUUCUACUGUGUCAUCGUCUGCCUAAGAACCAAAAAGAGUUCCCCAUUGGAUCAAGUCCUGAAUAUUCAUCUUGAAACCCUAUAAUCUGAUGGGUCUUCAACUUUAUUUCUACCUCUUCCAACAUCCUCAUUCUAAGCAAGCCAAUGCCUACUACUUCCACAAAAAUCAUGUUUUCACUCACAUAUUCACACAUUAAACAAAUUUACUGAGCACAAACUGAGUGUCAGGACUGGUGCUCAUUCCUAAUUCCACACUUUUGCUCAUCCCUGUUCCUCUCUGUGUAUUCAUACCUUACCCAUUCUGAAAGACCUGGUUCUAAUACCAAGUCCUUCAUAAGCUCUGCUCAGGCGUGCUGAUCUACCACUCAGCCGCCUAACCCUCUGAAUCCCUAUCAGCAUUUUAUUUUUACUCUGAAUUUACAUAGAACUUCUCUAGAAUAUUUUCAGAGAUUCCAUUUCAAAUAAAAUUUGGAUACUCUGGCUUAAACUAUAUUGAACAUGUUUCUCUACUACAGAGAUUUUAAGAGACUUUAAUAAAUUAAUACCAGCUGUAAAUUCCUAAAAGGGGUAUAUAGAAUCAGCAUUUCAUACUUGGGCAUGAAAAUUUUACAACAUAAUAACUACUGAUAUUGCAGGAAAAUCUUUUUUGGGACAUAGCUGUCAUUUGAUAAAAUGGUACCACAUGAUUUGCCACUUAAUUACAUGCUGGCUCCAUGGUAUUAUCCUGUUAUUUCCCUCCUUCCCUCCUGCAACUCUUUCUAUAUAUCUUAAGUCAUUUUCAAAUAUCCAAAAUAUUAAGUCCUACUUUCCUUAUGACUGAAAGCAAAAGUCUAAAGCAAGAAAUGCUUUUUGUCUAAACUUUUGGUGAAAGUUUUCUAAAAUGCACUAAUUUACCUCCUUGCCUUAUUAAGCAGAACAAUGAGAAUUUUUGAUAACUGAAGGAAGUUUAAAUGAUUAAAAAAAAAAAAAACUCUGCAACACCAUUUUUCUAAAUGACUUCAAGAAAUCACCUCCCUGGGCCUUAGGGUCUUCAUCUGAGUAAUGAGAAUAAAGAAUUCCAGUGGCUCUCUCUCUUUCCAUGGACCCUUAAGGUCAGAGAGCCAUCACAGAUUUGGAAAGGUAUUUCUGUGUGUUUGUGUGUUAUCUUUGUUGUUUUCUUAAGUUAUUGGAAUAGUCAGAUUUUGUGAACUCAGCAUUAGGCAAUUGUUUCUAUUGCCAUCUAUCCUAGCUGGCAAUAGAAACAAUCUCUAUUUCAUUAUUCUAAUGAAUUCUGCAACAUGGAUAACUUUUCUCACAAUAAAAGCAAAACAAAUUUUUAUAUUUGUCAAUAAAUAAAAAGGGAUAAACAUUACAACUUGUCCAAGUUCUAAUGAGUGAAAAGAACAGUAUCUGCCAUACAUCAGGUGUGUGAAUUUGGGCAAAUUAAUUUCCCUAAGCUUCAAUAUUCUCAUUUGAAAAAUGAGACUAACUCUUAUAGUUGUGAGUAUUCAAAAAAAUAAUGAAUUAAAAGCACUUGAGAUUGCUGCCUCUGAUUCCUCUGCUGCCAGCCUGAGAUCUCCUAGAGGUUUCUUUCUGGGCUGCAGCAGAAGUCAGAGACCUCGAGGCAAGGCCUCCCUUACCUUGGUAGUGAAUUCUGUCACUACCUUCAUGGUGGCUGCUGCUGAACUGGAAGUCUUCUCUCAAUCAACUGCCACCUGCACCACUACUGCCAUUGCUACUGUCUCCGAUUUCCCCGUUGCCAGCCUGAGAUAGCCUGGAGGUCUUCUUUCUGGGUGCUACUGCCACAGAAAAAACUACUGCCUUAGAUGCAACUGAAGCUGACACUGCUGCUGACCCCUGGAAAUCGCCUAGAGAAAAUGCCCCCACAGCUGCAGGUGUAGCUGCCUCUGCAGUCACCACUACUGAUGACCCGCUGCCUGUUGCCAACAACCACUACCACUACCACUGCUACCACAGCCUAGAGGACUGCUUCGGGGGAGACUCCAGGUUUGGUUGCAUGUGGCUGCACCCAUUUUGGAACACCAGCCAGGGCAGGGGGCCUGGGUGCUAGUGGGUUUACCAUCACAAGAGCCUCUGUCUGGGGACUCUAGCUGGACCUGUGUGGGGGUGCCUGCAGGUAUGGAGGAGCCUGGAGUCUUCCUGCUGAGAGUGCUGAUGGCCAUUCUCCUGCUCCUGCUGCAUCUCAGGGUUGCUGCUUUGCAUGAGUGUAUCCCUGGUGGACUCCCUGCAAGUAGGAGCAGCAUUGAGAUCUUGGAACUGCAGUGUGGCCAGUGAGGUAUCUGAAGCCCAGAUCUGUGGGACAGAGAUGGGUUUGCAAGGGCUGAUCUAGGUUUGGUGAUCACAAGAGAUGUCAGAGACAGGGCUGAGAAACUGUUGAACACUGACAGAGACAGUUUGACUUUCCAGCAAGACUUAAUUUAUGUUAUCUUUGAUUCACUAAUCUUUCUACCAUAUUUGGAACAGAAUGUUUUUUAUGCAUCAGUAUGUGUAGAACA
Molecule: long non-coding RNA, 2963 nt
Filed under: Marmota monax (woodchuck)
Lineage: Eukaryota; Metazoa; Chordata; Mammalia; Rodentia; Sciuridae
Source: RNAcentral